This is a non-coding RNA of Oryzias latipes (Japanese medaka), 1104 nucleotides long. NCBI's taxonomy places the organism in Eukaryota, Metazoa, Chordata, Actinopteri, Beloniformes, Adrianichthyidae. The record is from RefSeq and is a predicted model, not a curated record.
UGUCUUGCGAGAAAACAUAAACAUCAUUGUGCUGCACGGCUUCAAAACAAGUCUAAGACUCACAAAAGCAUUUGCCAAAAAGGGUACAGGACUUAGGGUACUGAGAUAGACCUAUAGGACAGAUGUUCCUCUAGAAAGGUAAGAUGACAAUUCAUGUGGGUGUCCAGACUUCCCACCAAAAGUUUCACCGAAGGGUUCAUCCCAAAGAUUUUGCAUGGCGAGUAUAAAUAUGACAAGACAGCCAUUAUGGAGGUGUACUUAUAAUGGUUAUCCUCACAUGCUGAAGCAAAAGUAAACCUCUGUUUGUUUGCUGGUUUUGAUGCAGAAAUGGAAUCAUGGGACAACUCUUGGACGACUGCGAAAAGACUGUGGACUGUGGCGGUCUGCUCCAACGCUCUGUGGGUGGGAACACACACCAGUGUCCUCAGCAGCCCCAAAGCAUCACUGCAGCCCUGGAAUAAGCAGGCUUGAACCCAUGGCCUGCGACUCAGCAGGCCAACGGCGCCUGUCGGCUGAGCCCAGAAUGCCAUUUCUACACCAGAUGUAUUUGUAAGAUUUGGUAGUGCGACUACUUCAAAGUCUGACUUGAUUGUUUUUGAUUGGUAUGAUUAUUCAGUGUUGCCGUCUUUUUCUUUAUUUCUUGGGGGAAAAGAUAUUAUCAUUCAACCACACUUAUUUAAUUGCAGCAAUUGGAGCCACUCUAAUUGGGCCUAGCCUUUCAUCUGAAAUGGUAAUGAUUAUGAGAUUGUGCUUGUGCUGAGCGGCCUAGUCUGAUGAGCAAAAGUUUGCAUGAUAUGACUCCUUUAGUCUGGAUUAGUGUGUUUUUUAAAUAUUUUAUUUGAGUCUUAUCUCACAGUGAAUUCUUUUUUAAUUUUUAAUCCAAUAAUUUUGACUCACCCCCCACCCACAGUUCUUCCAUUCCCCCUCAUUGUUCUUUCUUCUUGAUGUUUGUAACUGAUUUGAUCUUUGUAAUGGAGGUCUUGAAUAAGUAAACACUGAAAGCCUGCUCAAAAUGUCAGCAUGUUUUGUCAGAGCUAAGCAGAUAUUUAAAGAGCAUCUUAUCAUGUUGAUUUAAGCAAUUAAACAUGAAGUUGCCCUCUGCAA